CCCUGUAGUCUAGCGUAAACGAUGAUACUAGGCGUGGUUUGUAUCGACCAAGCCGUGCCGAAGCUAACGCGUUAAGUAUCCCGCUGGGGAGUACGCACGCAAGUGUGAAACUCAAAGGAAUUGACGGGGGCCCGCACAAGCGGUGGAGGAUGUGGUUUAAUUCGAUGCAACGCGAAGAACCUUACCAGGGCUUGACAUCCCGCGAAUCUUGCUGAAAGGCGAGAGUGCCUUCGGGAGCGCGGAGACAGGUGGUGCAUGGCUGUCGUCAGCUCGUGUCGUGAGAUGUUGGGUUAAGUCCCGCAACGAGCGCAACCCUCGUCCUUAGUUGCCAGCAUUAAGUUGGGCACUCUAGGGAGACUGCCGGUGACAAACCGGAGGAAGGUGAGGAUGACGUCAAGUCAGCAUGCCCCUUAUGCUCUGGGCAACACACGUCCUACAAUGGUCGGGACAAAGGGGAGCAAGCUCGCGAGAGUAAGCGAAUCCCAGCAAACUCGGCCUCAGUUCAGAUUGCAGGCUGCAACUCGCCUGCAUGAAGGAGGAAUCGCUAGUAAUCGCAGGUCAGCAUACUGCGGUGAAUUCGUUCCCGGGCCUUGUACACACCGCCCGUCACACCAUGGAAGCUGGCCAAGCCCGAAGUCGUUACCCUAACCGUUUGGAGGGGGGCGCCGAAGGCUGGGCUAGUGACUGGGGUGAAGUCGUAACAAGGUA
This 708-nucleotide ribosomal RNA is filed under the name uncultured organism. RNAcentral describes it as "bacterial SSU rRNA". It matches the Rfam family "Bacterial small subunit ribosomal RNA", at positions 786 to 1498 of the family's 1533-position model. The record is from RNAcentral.